RNAcentral lists this ribosomal RNA (465 nucleotides) under uncultured bacterium. RNAcentral describes it as "partial 16S ribosomal RNA". It matches the Rfam family "Bacterial small subunit ribosomal RNA", at positions 28 to 507 of the family's 1533-position model. The record is from RNAcentral.
GACGAACGCUGGCGGCGUGCUUAACACAUGCAAGUCGAACGGAACGGCCCUGCUUGCAGGGUACUCGAGUGGCGAACGGGUGAGUAACACGUGGGUGAUCUGCCCUGCACUUCGGGAUAAGCCUGGGAAACUGGGUCUAAUACCGGAUAGGAGCCAUUUUUAGUGUGAUGGUUGGAAAGUUUUUUCGGUGUAGGAUGAGCUCGCGGCCUAUCAGCUUGUUGGUGGGGUAAUGGCCUACCAAGGCGGCGACGGGUAGCCGGCCUGAGAGGGUGGACGGCCACAUUGGGACUGAGAUACGGCCCAGACGCCUACGGGAGGCAGCAGUGGGGAAUAUUGCACAAUGGGCGCAAGCCUGAUGCAGCGACGCCGCGGGGGGGAUGACGGCCUUCGGGUUGUAAACUCCUUUCGCUAGGGACGAAGCUUUUUGUGACGGUACCUAGAUAAGAAGCACCGGCUAACUACGUG